UAGGGAAUCUUCCGCAAUGGACGCAAGUCUGACGGAGCAACGCCGCGUGAGUGAAGAAGGAUUUCGGUUCGUAAAACUCUGUUGUUAGAGAAGAACAGCGCAUAGAGUAACUGUUAUGCGUGUGACGGUAUCUAACCAGAAAGCCACGGCUAACUACGUGCCAGCAGCCGCGGUAAUACGUAGGUGGCAAGCGUUAUCCGGAAUUAUUGGGCGUAAAGCGCGCGUAGGCGGUUUUUUAAGUCUGAUGUGAAAGCCCACGGCUCAACCGUGGAGGGUCAUUGGAAACUGGUUGACUUGAGUGCAGAAGAGGAGAGUGGAAUUCCAUGUGUAGCGGUGAAAUGCGUAGAUAUAUGGAGGAACACCAGUGGCGAAGGCGACUCUCUGGUCUGUAACUGACGCUGAGGCUCGAAAGCGUGGGUAGCAAACAGG
This 429-nucleotide ribosomal RNA is filed under the name Bacteroidota bacterium. Its description in RNAcentral is "Bacteroidetes bacterium partial 16S ribosomal RNA". It matches the Rfam family "Bacterial small subunit ribosomal RNA", at positions 355 to 776 of the family's 1533-position model. Lineage: Bacteria; Pseudomonadati; Bacteroidota. The record is from RNAcentral.